This 301-nucleotide ribosomal RNA is filed under the name uncultured bacterium. Its description in RNAcentral is "partial 16S ribosomal RNA". It matches the Rfam family "Bacterial small subunit ribosomal RNA", at positions 509 to 807 of the family's 1533-position model. The record is from RNAcentral.
CAGCCGCCGCGGUAAUACGAAGGGGGCUAGCGUUGCUCGGAAUCACUGGGCGUAAAGGGUGCGUAGGCGGGUCUUUAAGUCAGGGGUGAAAUCCUGGAGCUCAACUCCAGAACUGCCUUUGAUACUGAAGAUCUUGAGUUCGGGAGAGGUGAGUGGAACUGCGAGUGUAGAGGUGAAAUUCGUAGAUAUUCGCAAGAACACCAGUGGCGAAGGCGGCUCACUGGCCCGAUACUGACGCUGAGGCACGAAAGCGUGGGGAGCAAACAGGAUUAGAUACCCGCGUAGUCCCUGUCUCUUAUAC